GUGUCAGCAGCCGCGGUAAUACGUAGGGUGCGAGCGUUGUCCGGAAUUACUGGGCGUAAAGAGUUCGUAGGCGGUUUGUCACGUCGUCUGUGAAAACCCACCGCUCAACGGUGGGCCUGCAGGCGAUACGGGCAGACUUGAGUACUGCAGGGGAGACUGGAAUUCCUGGUGUAGCGGUGAAAUGCGCAGAUAUCAGGAGGAACACCGGUGGCGAAGGCGGGUCUCUGGGCAGUAACUGACGCUGAGGAACGAAAGCGUGGGUAGCAAACAGGAUUAGAAACCCCGGUAGUCC
RNAcentral lists this ribosomal RNA (292 nucleotides) under uncultured bacterium. RNAcentral describes it as "partial 16S ribosomal RNA". It matches the Rfam family "Bacterial small subunit ribosomal RNA", at positions 505 to 796 of the family's 1533-position model. The record is from RNAcentral.